This 1449-nucleotide long non-coding RNA is filed under the name Monodelphis domestica (gray short-tailed opossum). RNAcentral describes it as "lncRNA (ENSMODG00000030199.2)". The record is from RNAcentral. Lineage: Eukaryota; Metazoa; Chordata; Mammalia; Didelphimorphia; Didelphidae.
UUCCUGUUGCCUAGAGAAGGGAGGGAUUAAGUGACUUGGCCAAGGUUACAUGUAGCCAUUAUUGCAUCAAACACAGAGCUUGAACCCAGGUCCUUUUGCCUCUAAGGCCAGCUCUCUAGUCACUCUGCCCCUCACUGCCUCUAUACAUCCAGAAGAAUCCUCUCAGUGGCAGUUCUUGUCCUUGUUUGAGGAAAGCUACCAGGGAGCUGGUUUAGUCAGACCAUGACAAAGCAUGUCCUGAAGUGACAGCUGAAUGUCUGAGGGCACACCAGAGUGUCUGAAGGCACCAUGGCUGCCACGGGCCCAGUUUUAUCCUUUGUGGAAACACGUCUCCAGAAAAGCAUCGUCCAGAGCCUCAGAGUUCCAGGGCUGGUGUUGGGUGUUUCGUGGGACAGAGAGCUUAGACAUGGUUCAAUCUUGUGAUUGCUGCCAUACCUGCAAACACUCAGCUCAAUAGAGGCUCCCUUUCCUGUCAACACUCUUAGGAAUCUAUGAUAUUUAUAUUAAAGAAAAAGGAAAGUCAAAACAAGGCAAGGCUCCAAGGGUCUUCCAACACAAGCUUGGGAAAUUCAGUCUGCGUUCCACAGAGGGAAGGAUUCUUUUUUUCCCUCCACAUUUCAAAUAGUCACAUCUAAUCUUCUUGGAAGUCAAUUCAUCCAGUGUUUUCCCUCAGGUUAUUCAGAAAGCCAUUGUGGAUAGUAGAAUGGAUGAGUAAAAUAAUGAUGGCUGAAUAAAUAGAAAUCUGGAUGAAAGGAAAAGAAAAAGAAAGCCAAAAGAAGAGAGGAGAUGGAAAAAGAGAAAGAAAGAAUAUUUAUUAAGCAACUGCUCCAUUCCAGGCACUGUCAUAAAUGCUGAGAACACAGGAAAAUGGGAAGGGUCAGAAACCUUCAAAUGGAAGGAGAACCUCUAACUCCAAAUUCAAUCAUCAUCAUCAGCAGCAGUAGCAGAAGCAGCAACAUCAACAUCAUGAACAACAUCAUCAUCAUCUACAAAAUCAACACCAUCUACAUCAUCAUCAACAUCAACAUCAUCAUCAUCAACAACAACAAAAUCAGCAUCAGCAUCAACAUCAUCAUCAGCAUGAAUAUCAUUAACAUCAUCACCAUCAUCAAUGUCAUCAACAAGAACAAUAUCAGCCUCAAAAUCAUCAAUGUCUUCAUCACUAUCCACAUCAACAUCUAACUAUCCAUCUUUUCCUGGCCUAGGAAAGAUUUUUGCUCGGUGGCUUAACCUAAUAGCAUACUAUGCAGAGCACUGAACGAGAGCCAAAAGACCUAAACUCUAGGCUUGAGUGCCACUACAUGUCCUUUGGGGGUAAAAAGAAAGUCUUCAUUUUCCUGGACUCAGUUUCCUCAUUUAUGUAUGAAUGAAACUUACCUGGACUCUGCAUUAAGUUAAUCAAUUAAAUGAAGGAAUAAACCAAGUGUAAAUAAGAAAAAAAUGCUUUCU